GGGCAGCAUCUAGUAGUUCUGGUCUGGAACAAACAAGAUUUUCUCUAGUCCCUGAGAGACAGUGCUAAGAUCACAGUCAAAAGGAAGUCACCAAUGAAGAUUUGUCUGCGCAGCUAAGAAAACUGCUUGUGGUGAAAGCUCUAAACGAAACAGAGAAUGAACACCAUGUAACCAGACAGCUAUAAACCUUCAGCUGCAGACCACUGAUGGGAGUCCAUAGACCACCAGUUUGGGAAACCUCUGCUUUAAACCCCUAAAUGAUUCAACGUUUGUUCCCUCUGAUGACACCACGAAUCUGGGAAUGAAGAACUUCUUAGAGCUGAUUGGAAAUGGCAUUGCGGAGCUGAAACUUAACUGGAGGAAAUAUAUCUCCUGAAGAAGAAAAUAUAAUGCACUGUAAGGAUCUGACUUCUGGUGAAAAAUUCAAGCCUAGAGAAAACUUGUCCGCUUUGUUAGGAAGAAUGGGUUGGACAAUUUUCUUCAAUUCCAAAGGAUAUCUGAAUGCCAUGCUGAGCUUAAUCUCUGCAGCAUGCUCUGUGCUUCUCAUCUCUUCCUGAUGCACUGCAUGGUUAUCCUGAAAGGGAGCAUAAAGAAACUGGCCACCAAGAUGGUAAUCACUAGUGGAAAUGAAGAAGAUAAAAGCAGUCAAGAAAAGGAAAGCAAAGAAGAAACCAUCUUGGCAAUGCUUGGAAUUAUUGGGACAAUUCUGAACCUCAUUGUGAUCAUUUUUGUGUAUAUUUACACAACGUUGUAAACUAGACGGCAUGCAAAUAGACCAGAUAAAACGGCCAUUAAGAGUGACGACAAACAUUGCUGACUAUUGACAAGUUAUUUAAUCAGAAUUGACUCUGUAUUAUAUUAACACAUCAUAAAAGCACUGCCUGCAGGCAGCGAAGGCUGAAGCACAAUUAAUUUAACAAGCUUAACUCUUCUGUCCUGCCCUCUUCCUUUCGGUUUGGUUUUCAGUUUGGGGGAAAAUGACUGCAAUUAUGUAAGUUGUAGCUUUCAAGAA
This is a long non-coding RNA of Gymnogyps californianus (California condor), 1012 nucleotides long. RefSeq lists it as uncharacterized. Lineage: Eukaryota; Metazoa; Chordata; Aves; Accipitriformes; Cathartidae. The transcript has 5 exons. The record is from RefSeq and is a predicted model, not a curated record.